ACAGGCUUAGAGUAUGUGAUCAGUGAUGCUACUGAGAUUGUCCCGACAAGAUUAUAUAUGCUGACGUAUAAUAUCGAUGCAAACGUAUAACAAGGUUAUAUCGAUGCUAACGUAUAAUAUUGUGGAUGGUACAAUAUACCAGGCUCCACAGCUUUGUAGUGUCUUUGCAGCUCGAGUUGUAUGCUUCUUCAUCCUUUCUAUUUAUGUUCAUGUGUUGCUUGGAGGGCAUAGACUAAGCGAAGGUUUUUUUUUUAGUUGCUGCUAAAGUAUUUUUUGUUUUCUUCUCUUUCUCCUUUAAGGUCGGACUGUUAUUAAUAUUUAGAUGGUUUCUCUGCAGCUGCAUUAAAGUUGGGGACGAUUAGGCAGGGUAAGAUUUUGUUUUCUUUAAUAAGUUGGUUCUGUCUCAGUUUCAUGUGAUUAAAUAUUUUCUGCUACUAAGAGUUAGUUUCAAAGUUUGUUGCAAGCUCGACUAGCUAUGUCCACAAGACCGGACUGAGAAUUAUAUGUUUUUUGUAUCAACUGCAUGUAGAUGCAAAUGUAAAAUAACUUUUCAUUAACUUAGGAAGCUCAUAUCUGAACAGAUUUAAUUUAUCAAGUACUUUAGAAUCUGUUGUUCUUUGUUGUCCAUCUUUGGUAUGCUGCAAGCUUCUGUGAUAUGAUCUAUGGUUUUCAGUUGAUUGCUAAAAACCAGAAAAAGCCUUCUGAGACAAAGCCCCCAAUGAUUCAUCAAAGAUGAUGUUUUCGUAGAAAUCAGGAGCAACCCACCUUAUAUAAGAAAAAAAAAAGAAUUGAACAGUAUCUAUGUCGAAGAAGUCAAGAGUUCUUUGAGCAACGCGUUUCUUCAGGCCGAUAUUUCUUUAGCAGAGGACCGCAACAGAGGCUCUUUUCUCAGGCUUUUCUUCCGGUACCUCGGCUCUUGCUGCCCUUAUUUUUGGAAGACACUUAAUGGUUGCAAAUGCAGCAGAUGGCAGAGCCGUUCUCUGUAGGAAUGGUGAAGCCAUAGACAUGUAUCGAGACCACAAACCAAUCUACUUACCGUAAAGAAGAAAGUCUAAGGAAGUGGCGGCUUCAACGAUGUCAGUUACUUAAAUGGCAUAGUGAUUGGGACAUGUAACUACCACGAGGGUCACGAUCUCCACUCUUAGCAGAGCCAGGAGAUCAAAAAGAUACAUUUAACAGAGGAAGAGAAGUUUCUAAUAAUGAGAUGCGACGAGAUUUGGGACGUUUUGACAAUUCAAAAGGUUUUUGUAUCGUUAGGUGUGAAUUACGUCGAUCAUGAUGACCCGAUAACGCUUGCUUUGAGGUCUUUAAGGCUAAAAAAGUUAGAUAACCUAACAGUGGUUGUUUGAUUCUUGUCGGCUGAUGACAUAAGAGCAAUAGUCGCUCCUCCGGUGGAGGAUCAACGGUGUUGUAUUUUUCUCAGAGAUUGAGGGCCUUAUUUGAUGGUUGAAUGAAAAGAUAAUGACAUUCCCUUUUGUGUUCUUGGCUGAGCUUUUUCUUGCUUUUGUAUAUUUGGGGUCUGUAUCUAACUUCGAGUGUCUACGUGCCCAAGUUUUGUG
Brassica oleracea var. oleracea is the source of this 1559-nucleotide long non-coding RNA. RefSeq lists it as uncharacterized. Lineage: Eukaryota; Viridiplantae; Streptophyta; Magnoliopsida; Brassicales; Brassicaceae. The record is from RefSeq and is a predicted model, not a curated record. The transcript has 3 exons.